RNAcentral lists this ribosomal RNA (468 nucleotides) under uncultured bacterium. RNAcentral describes it as "partial 16S ribosomal RNA". It matches the Rfam family "Bacterial small subunit ribosomal RNA", at positions 28 to 507 of the family's 1533-position model. The record is from RNAcentral.
GACGAACGCUGGCGGCGUGCUUAACACAUGCAAGUCGAACGGAAAGGCCCUGCUUUUGUGGGGUGCUCGAGUGGCGAACGGGUGAGUAACACGUGAGUAACCUGCCCUUGACUUUGGGAUAACUUCAGGAAACUGGGGCUAAUACCGGAUAGGAGCCCCUGCUGCAUGGUGGGGGUUGGAAAGUUUCGGCGGUUGGAGAUGGACUCGCGGCUUAUCAGCUUGUUGGUGGGGUAGUGGCUUACCAAGGCUUUGACGGGUAGCCGGCCUGAGAGGGUGACCGGCCACAUUGGGACUGAGAUACGGCCCAGACUCCUACGGGAGGCAGCUGUGGGGAAUAUUGCACAAUGGGCGGAAGCCUGAUGCAGCAACGCCGCGUGCGGGAUGACGGCCUUCGGGUUGUAAACCGCUUUCGCCUGUGACGAAGCGUGAGUGACGGUAAUGGGUAAAGAAGCACCGGCUAACUACGUG